RNAcentral lists this non-coding RNA (21 nucleotides) under Caenorhabditis elegans. The record is from RNAcentral. Lineage: Eukaryota; Metazoa; Nematoda; Chromadorea; Rhabditida; Rhabditidae.
UGAUUCCUUGUGGUUUGAUUG